CGCGUAGGCGGCUUGCCAAGUCAGUGGUGAAAUCCCGCAGCUUAACUGCGGAAGUGCCUUUGAUACUGGCGAGCUCGAGGGAGGUAGGGGUAUGCGGAACUUCUGGCGGAGCGGUGAAAUGCGUUGAUAUCAGAAGGAACGCCGGUGGCGAAAGCGGCGUACUGGACCUCUUCUGACGCUGAGGCGCGAAAGCUAGGGGAGCAAACGGGAUUAGAUACCCCGGUAGUCCUAGCCCUAAACGUUGGGUACUAGGUUGUGGACUAACAUGGGUUCACAGCCGAAGCAAAAGUGUUAAGUACCCCGCUGGGGAUAUGGUCGCAAGGCUGAA
This 328-nucleotide ribosomal RNA is filed under the name uncultured bacterium. RNAcentral's name for it is "bacterial SSU rRNA". It matches the Rfam family "Bacterial small subunit ribosomal RNA", at positions 568 to 898 of the family's 1533-position model. The record is from RNAcentral.